Molecule: unclassified non-coding RNA, 395 nt
Filed under: soil metagenome
Description: partial contains 5.8S ribosomal RNA, internal transcribed spacer 2, and large subunit ribosomal RNA
Rfam family: 5.8S ribosomal RNA (bases 1-122)
Source: RNAcentral
GAUGAAGAACGUAGCGAAAUGCGAUACUUGGUGUGAAUUGCAGAAUCCCGUGAACCAUCGAGUCUUUGAACGCAAGUUGCGCCCGAAGCCAUCAGGUUGAGGGCACGUCUGCCUGGGCGUCACAUAUCGUUGCCCGAUGCCUAUUGCAGUGCAAUAGGAAUUUCUAGGGCGAAUGAUGGCUUCCCGUGAGCGUUGUUGCCUCGCGGUUGGUUGAAAAUCGAGUCCUUGGUAGGGUGUGCCAUGGUAGAUGGUGGUCGAGUUAGAACGAUACCGAUCAUGUGCAUGCUCCCCAAAAUAUGGCCUCUAUGACCCACACGCGUCUUUUGACGCUCAUGACGAGACCUCAGGUCAGGCGGGGCUACCCGCUGAAUUUAAGCAUAUCAAUAAGCGGAGGA